Molecule: ribosomal RNA, 531 nt
Filed under: Salmonella enterica subsp. enterica serovar Infantis
Lineage: Bacteria; Pseudomonadati; Pseudomonadota; Gammaproteobacteria; Enterobacterales; Enterobacteriaceae
Also listed under: 1 other name
Description: bacterial SSU rRNA
Rfam family: Bacterial small subunit ribosomal RNA
Source: RNAcentral
AAAUUGAAGAGUUUGAUCAUGGCUCAGAUUGAACGCUGGCGGCAGGCCUAACACAUGCAAGUCGAACGGUAACAGGAAGCAGCUUGCUGCUUCGCUGACGAGUGGCGGACGGGUGAGUAAUGUCUGGGAAACUGCCUGAUGGAGGGGGAUAACUACUGGAAACGGUGGCUAAUACCGCAUAACGUCGCAAGACCAAAGAGGGGGACCUUCGGGCCUCUUGCCAUCAGAUGUGCCCAGAUGGGAUUAGCUUGUUGGUGAGGUAACGGCUCACCAAGGCGACGAUCCCUAGCUGGUCUGAGAGGAUGACCAGCCACACUGGAACUGAGACACGGUCCAGACUCCUACGGGAGGCAGCAGUGGGGAAUAUUGCACAAUGGGCGCAAGCCUGAUGCAGCCAUGCCGCGUGUAUGAAGAAGGCCUUCGGGUUGUAAAGUACUUUCAGCGGGGAGGAAGGUGUUGCGGUUAAUAACCGCAGCAAUUGACGUUACCCGCAGAAGAAGCACCGGCUAACUCCGUGCCAGCAGCCGCGGU